AAGAGCUCAGAUUUGAAGUCGUGCUUUGCGGCACGAGUUGUAGAUUGCAGGUUGGAGUCUGUGUGGAAGGCGGUGUCCAAGUCCCUUGGAACAGGGCGCCCAGGAGGGUGAGAGCCCCGUGGGAUGCCGGCGGAAGCAGUGAGGCCCUUCUGACGAGUCGAGUUGUUUGGGAAUGCAGCUCCAAGCGGGUGGUAAAUUCCAUCUAAGGCUAAAUACUGGCGAGAGACCGAUAGCGAACAAGUACUGUGAAGGAAAGAUGAAAAGCACUUUGAAAAGAGAGUGAAACAGCACGUGAAAUUGUUGAAAGGGAAGGGUAUUGCGCCCGACAUGGGGAUUGCGCACCGCUGCCUCUCGUGGGCGGCGCUCUGGGCUUUCCCUGGGCCAGCAUCGGUUCUUGCUGCAGGAGAAGGGGUUCUGGAACGUGGCUCUUCGGAGUGUUAUAGCCAGGGCCAGAUGCUGCGUGCGGGGACCGAGGACUGCGGCCGUGUAGGUCACGGAUGCUGGCAGAACGGCGCAACACCGCCCGUCUUGAAACACGGACC
RNAcentral lists this ribosomal RNA (542 nucleotides) under Pichia kudriavzevii. RNAcentral describes it as "eukaryotic LSU rRNA". It matches the Rfam family "Eukaryotic large subunit ribosomal RNA", at positions 103 to 667 of the family's 3401-position model. Lineage: Eukaryota; Fungi; Ascomycota; Pichiomycetes; Pichiales; Pichiaceae. The record is from RNAcentral.